This 497-nucleotide ribosomal RNA is filed under the name uncultured bacterium. RNAcentral's name for it is "partial 16S ribosomal RNA". It matches the Rfam family "Bacterial small subunit ribosomal RNA", at positions 28 to 507 of the family's 1533-position model. The record is from RNAcentral.
GAUGAACGCUGGCGGCGUGCCUAAUACAUGCAAGUCGAGCGAACGGACGAGAAGCUUGCUUCUCUGAUGUUAGCGGCGGACGGGUGAGUAACACGUGGAUAACCUACCUAUAAGACUGGGAUAACUUCGGGAAACCGUAGCUAAUACCGGAUAAUAUUUUGAACCGCAUGGUUCAAAAGUGAAAGACGGUCUUGCUGUCACUUAUAGAUGGAUCCGCGCUGCAUUAGCUAGUUGGUAAGGUAACGGCUUACCAAGGCAACGAUGCAUAGCCGACCUGAGAGGGUGAUCGGCCACACGAGAACUGAGACACGGUCCAGACUCCUACGGGAGGCAGCAGUAGGGAAUCUUCCGCAAUGGGCGAAAGCCUGACGGAGCAACGCCGCGUGAGUGAUGAAGGUCUUCGGAUCGUAAAACUCUGUUAUUAGGGAAGAACAUAUGUGUAAGUAACUGUGCACAUCUUGACGGUACCUAAUCAGAAAGCCACGGCUAACUACGUG